This 1072-nucleotide long non-coding RNA is filed under the name Salmo salar (Atlantic salmon). RNAcentral's name for it is "lncRNA (ENSSSAG00000115925.1)". The record is from RNAcentral. Lineage: Eukaryota; Metazoa; Chordata; Actinopteri; Salmoniformes; Salmonidae.
GAUUUCCUAAGUAAAGUGCAUUGUCCACUCAUCUCUGCUCUCCUGCGCCUGACUUCUAUGCACCGGCUACACUCACCCCUUGACACUUUGACCUCUUCCAUCCUUAUGUAAUGCCUGGUCUUGGUUCAGAUGGGUGAUCUUUCGCCUCACACCAACACUUUUUAAUGCAGCUGAACUAGGAGCGGAGGACAAGGCUAACUGGAUGCUCUCCCGAUGCCAAGGAGGGAUGACAGUAGAUGACUAUAAUCUUGAAGACACCGGAUGAACGAGGACAUUUGUGAAAGCUGGAUUUGAACCAGGUAGAGGUGGACAGUGUUGGAUGAUAUGAUGGUCAAGGCUACAGAUGAGUAAUAUAAUGGUCCUGCUACAUGUCACCGGCUGGCUCAUAGCCUGUGGCAAAAAUGAGGGGACAUCAACAACAGGAGGAACCGCCCCUGCACUGCAGAGGAGGAGCCGUGACAUACACGACAGCCAUGGUUUACAGAAGAGGAUGUCUUCCUUAAUUGACCCCUCAUAAACGUAACGGACAUAUACCAGGAGCUGUGCCAGGCCCGCCACGUCUGUUGACUCAUCCAGCUGUUGACUCAUCCAACGCAUAGAAUUCACUGGCUUGUAUGGGAAGCAGUAAUUGUUACGAAACAUCUCCAGCCAUGUCACUGAUGUGUUGUGAAACAGUGUUUGAUGAAGGCAUUGUCUGUAUAGUUUUAUUGGCCUUUUCCCCCAGCAUUGUCCCAGCCAUAUCCGCGGCAGCAGGAAGAAUUAAGUCCUCCACAAUAGUAUGGGGCUUGCCUGUCCUCGCCACUUAGUAGCUCACCAUAUAAGACGCUUAUAGCCCCUUCUUAGUAAUGGUAUCUGUUGCUUUUAUACAUGUUUUACUACUCAAAAGUCGUCUUAAUUCUCACUCAAAAAAUUCCCGUGGCUUAUUUUUCAAAUUGGCAUGUUUUGUUUCUAAAUGUCUGCGCAAGAGUGAAGGUUUCAUCGAGUUGUGAGAUAGUACUUUUACACAUAACACACUGUGGCUGAGGGGGGGGCACUACUCCCAAUAUAAGUGAACCCCAAAUCAAUGUAGUUC